UACGUAGGGUGCGAGCGUUGUCCGGAAUUACUGGGCGUAAAGAGCUCGUAGGGGGUUUGUCGCGUUGUUCGUGAAAUCUCACGGCUUAACUGUGAGCGUGCGGGCGAUACGGGCAGACUGGAGUACUGCAGGGGAGACUGGAAUUCCUGGUGUAGCGGUGGAAUGCGCAGAUAUCAGGAGGAACACCGGUGGCGAAGGCGGGUCUCUGGGCAGUAACUGACGCUGAGGAGCGAAAGCGUGGGGAGCGAACAGG
RNAcentral lists this ribosomal RNA (253 nucleotides) under uncultured bacterium. RNAcentral's name for it is "partial 16S ribosomal RNA". It matches the Rfam family "Bacterial small subunit ribosomal RNA", at positions 524 to 776 of the family's 1533-position model. The record is from RNAcentral.